This 1095-nucleotide long non-coding RNA is filed under the name Heterocephalus glaber (naked mole-rat). Its description in RNAcentral is "lncRNA (ENSHGLG00000047052.1)". Lineage: Eukaryota; Metazoa; Chordata; Mammalia; Rodentia; Bathyergidae. The record is from RNAcentral.
UUGGAUACUUACGGAGUCCACUGUUUAGCCUUCUCCUGGGCUAUAAUUCUUCCCUAGGAAGUGCAUACUUGAGUAGCUGGAAAAAUCUUAGUACUGACAUUUCCUCUAGCCAAAUGCAAGGAACUCCAUGUUUUGUUUUUUUUAACAUCCAAAGGCUCUCACACAUGUAACUUUGCCUUUUAAGACCAACAAGCCUGCCUAGCAGCAAACCCCAACCUAGGGAAGAGGCUGUCAGAGGUCUUAUUCAUGGAGGUGGCCUGGACCAGAACUGGUAAAGAGGUGGACGAUGCUGAUAACUCUACAGGUAUCCACAGAACCCUUAUUUCUCCAGUGGAACAAGGAAGGAAAAUAGGCCAACAUUUUCCUCUCUGCUAGAGUAUAUGCCAUGUGACUAUUUUUGGCUUUCAAAGACACUUUGUGUGACCAGGAUACUUUGUCAUUCUGGUUCUGACAAGCAAGACAUGAGUUGUCUUAAUACAUUUUACCUCUGGAAGUACCUACAGUUUGUUUGGACACAUGGUACCUCUCUGAGGAUCUUUCAGUUUGUGCUUCUUCCACAGCCCCAGGGUAGCCUUAGAUAUUUCUGGGGAACUGGAUGCUAGAACUGACUGGGUGUUCCUGUGGCCCCUACUUGGAGACAUCAGUGAUGGCUGACUGCUUUCCAAGUCUACACUCAAAGAGACAGAUGGAUUCUCCUUCGAGGAAGAUACCUCACCCAGCUUCUUAUUUUGCGUAGAGCCUGCUGGAUCUAACUUGUGGAAUAUGGCAUGAAUUGUAUGGGAGGCUUUACCCAUCUUAUCAGUCCAAGGACCAACAAGGGAGAUUAGGUUGAAGUUUGUCUUCUGCACUUAUUUCUGUCUUCAAAGUGGAUACACUCAACCAGGAUACACUCAAGGCCAUUUGUUGACCUAGUUUUUAAUUCGUACGUUAGUGCUCUGGGACCUCUCUAACCUCAGCAUUGCCUGGAGAAGUGAGACGACCAAGAAGGAUUACUUGGAACACUCACUGUGGAUGAAGCUGGGGCCAUGGAAUGAGUCUGACUAUUCUGCAGUGUUCAUGUUGAAGACCUUCACUUGAUAGCCCAUCUAAUCUCGC